Molecule: ribosomal RNA, 105 nt
Filed under: Solirubrobacterales bacterium
Lineage: Bacteria; Bacillati; Actinomycetota; Thermoleophilia; Solirubrobacterales
Description: partial 23S ribosomal RNA
Rfam family: Bacterial large subunit ribosomal RNA
Source: RNAcentral
CCUUGAGGGAGUAAGACCCCUGGUAGACCACCAGGCGAUAGGCCGGAUCUGGAAGGGCGGUAACGCCCGAGGAGACCGGUACUAAUGGGUCGAGGGCUUGACGGU